GCUUGGAUGGUGGAAUGGUAGACACUGGGGACUUAAAAUCCCCUGGGUGAAUAACCCGUGCGGGUUCGAGUCCCGCUCCGAGCA
Molecule: transfer RNA, 84 nt
Filed under: Verrucomicrobiota bacterium
Lineage: Bacteria; Pseudomonadati; Verrucomicrobiota
Description: tRNA-Leu
Rfam family: tRNA
About the family: Transfer RNA (tRNA) molecules are approximately 80 nucleotides in length. Their secondary structure includes four short double-helical elements and three loops (D, anti-codon, and T loops).
Source: RNAcentral